AUGGAGGUGGAUGAGUCCUCGCCGUCGUCGCUGCUGUCCUCGCCCUCAUCUCUUUCCUCUGACUCCAUUGACCUCAACUUCCUGCCGUUCCUGAGGAGGGAGCCCAAGUCGGAGCCGGCUUCUCCUGAGCAUGGCCCUCUGCCGCCACCGCUGCCGCUGCCGCUGCCGCCGCAGGCCACGGCUGCUAUUGCGGUGGCGUUCGCGGCACCGACAACGCCUGACCUGUCUUCGCCUGAGGUCCUGACGCCUCUGCAGUCGCUGCCACCAAACCCCGACGAGGACGCGCUCUUCGCGGAGUACUGCCGAUUGGCGAGCCUCUACCUGUUAUCAGCGGGGGCCGGGGCGAUCGUGCCAGCGCCGACGCCUGAGGCCGCGGCGCCGGCGGCAGUGCAGCCUGGGUCGGGGUCCGCGGCGAAGAAGCGCCGGCCGCGGUCGUCAGAGUUGGUACGGGUGUCCUCACUUAGCGUGCGGGAUCAGAUCUAUUUUCGUGAUUUGGUGCGCCGGGCGCGCAUCACCUUCGAGUCGCUCCGCGGCCUGCUGCUGAAGGACGACGAGCGCGCGGAGGCGCUCGGUCUUGCGGGCGUCAUCGGGCUUGGCUCAGUGGACCGGCGUCGCGUGCGCGCCGACCUGCGGGCUGCGGCGCUCAUGGCCGACCGAGACCUGUGGCUCAACCGCGACCGCCGCAUAGUGGGGCCGAUACCUGGGAUUGCUGUCGGCGAUGCCUUCUUCUUCCGCAUGGAGCUAUGUGUGCUGGGCCUCCAUGGCCAGGUGCAGGCCGGGAUUGAUUAUCUCUCAGCAGGGCAAUCUGCCUCAGGCGAGCCUAUAGCCACAUCUAUUAUUGUCUCUGGUGGGUAUGAAGAUGAUGAUGAUCGUGGUGAUGUACUGGUGUACACCGGCCAUGGUGGCCGAGACCCCAACCUGCACAAGCAUUGCGUCGACCAGAAGCUUGAGGGCGGCAAUCUUGCCCUCGAGCGCAGCAUGGCCUAUGGUAUUGAGAUUCGUGUAAUCCGUGCUGUCAAGUCUAAGCGCAGCCCUGUUGGAAAGGUCUACUUCUACGACGGCCUCUACAAGGUUGUUGACUACUGGCUCGAUCGCGGGAAAGCAGGCUUUGGUGUUUACAAGUAUAAAAUGAUUCGCAUUGAAGGGCAGGAGCCCAUGGGAUCUGUGAAUUAUCGCGCAGCUGAACAUCUUAAGGUGGAUGCACUAUCUAUGCGACCAACUGGAUACCUGAGCUUUGAUAUUUCCAUGGGUCGAGAGAUUAUGCCAGUUGCACUAUAUAAUGAUGUCGAUGAUGAUAGGGACCCACUCUUAUUUGAGUACCUGGCACGGCCAAUAUUCCCAUCUUCUGCAGUUCAAGGGAAGUUUGCUGAGGGUGGUGGUGGGUGUGGGUGCAUCGAGAAUUGCUCAAUUGGAUGUUAUUGUGCAGAAAGGAAUGGGGGUGAGUUUGCGUAUGAUAAAGCUGGUGUUCUUCUAAGGGGCAAACCACUGCUGUAUGAGUGUGGUCCAUAUUGCCAAUGCCCACCUAGCUGCCCCAACAGGGUUAGUCAGAAGGGGCUUAAGAAUAGGCUUGAGGUGUUCCGGUCAAGGGAAACUGGGUGGGGUGUUCGGUCUCUGGAUCUCAUUAAGUCUGGCACGUUCAUCUGUGAGUUUAGUGGGAUUGUGCUUACUCAUCAGCAGUCAGAGAUAGUGGCAGCCAGUGGUGAUUGUUUGGUGCAUCCGAACAGGUUCCCUUCAAGGUGGUUAGAUUGGGGUGAUAUCUCUGAUGUAUAUCCUGAGUAUGUCGCUCCGAACCAUCCUGCCACUACAGACUUGAACUUUUCGAUUGAUGUCUCAAGGGCAAGGAAUGUGGCUUGUUAUUUCAGCCAUAGUUGCAGUCCAAAUGUAUUUAUUCAGUUUGUGCUGUUUGACCACUACAACGUGUCUUAUCCCCACCUCAUGAUCUUUGCCCUGGAGAACAUUCCGCCCUUGAGGGAGCUAAGCAUUGACUAUGGAAUGAUUGAUGAAUGGGUUGGAAAGUUAACUAUGUAG
This 2028-nucleotide ribosomal RNA is filed under the name Triticum aestivum (bread wheat). Its description in RNAcentral is "partial small subunit ribosomal RNA". The record is from RNAcentral. Lineage: Eukaryota; Viridiplantae; Streptophyta; Magnoliopsida; Poales; Poaceae.